Dreissena polymorpha is the source of this 416-nucleotide long non-coding RNA. RefSeq lists it as uncharacterized. NCBI's taxonomy places the organism in Eukaryota, Metazoa, Mollusca, Bivalvia, Myida, Dreissenidae. The transcript is spliced from 3 exons. The record is from RefSeq and is a predicted model, not a curated record.
UGUAUUGUAAUUGUCACAUGACUUCAAAAUGGUAGAAGAACUCUUAGUGUGUAAAGCGAAACUUAGCCAAAUUUUAUAAUGAAACAUUGUGAACAUAAGCUACGAAUAUAUGGUCUUAUCCUUAUCUUUGUGUGGUAUCUUGGUGUGAACACACUCACAACUGAGUUUCCACCUACCAGACUACAGGACUGUAAUUCAACUAGAACAUGUGCAGUUUGUAACGCAGGAUAUUUUGCCAACCAGUCAUGGGCUGAGUGCAGUUGUUGUCCACGCAGUGGCUAUUGUUUGGACAGCUGCAGUGCUUGUCCACCAGGAGCAGAACAACCAAAAAGUAGAGAGAUUGAAUGUACCCUCUGUAAACCAGGACACUUUACCCCCAAAGAUGCUACAAUAGAAUGCCCAUCAUGUGAGAAAGG